This 423-nucleotide long non-coding RNA is filed under the name Carica papaya (papaya). RNAcentral's name for it is "long non-coding RNA (CPAP_LNC002789)". Lineage: Eukaryota; Viridiplantae; Streptophyta; Magnoliopsida; Brassicales; Caricaceae. The record is from RNAcentral.
CACUUGAAUAUCGUUUAUAAUCUCGAAACAUAAUCACACACACACAAAAGAUCAAAGAUACACUCGAAUAUCGUUCAUAAUCUUGAAACAUAAUCACACAUACAUAAUAGACAGAUACACUCGAAUGGUCAUUUUUAUGGUUUCAUCGCACGAUGCCGUUUAUGUCAUUAUCAAGGAAAGGCGAAAUAGAUCCUCUCAUCGCAUGGAUAGUAUACACACAAAUCACACAAUGACCACAACAGAUAUGUUUACUAGGUGACCCACACUCACACAAAUGUUUAUCCAUGUUUGGAUUAGGUUUCAAACUCUAUCCAUGUGCAGGUUUACCAUACCCGCUGAACUUCAGUCACACACACACUUCCCUCCUCGAUUCAUACUAAAGAAGAAGGUAUUCGAGCUCUUUACCCUAUUCACUCAUACCCU